RNAcentral lists this unclassified non-coding RNA (996 nucleotides) under Leishmania donovani. RNAcentral describes it as "gene:LdHU3.36.9690(CDS-product:hypothetical_prote in_conserved)". Lineage: Eukaryota; Euglenozoa; Kinetoplastea; Trypanosomatida; Trypanosomatidae. The record is from RNAcentral.
CAUGCGCUCUGCUCUUGACACGUGUUCGAUACGGGCCUCGGCGCAUAAAGGCAAAAUACAAUGUUUCAAAGCGGCAGCAGUGCGAGGCCCAAGCUGGAACCCGCAGCUGCUGGCUCUUACCAGCCCGUCCAGGUACCAAAGGAAAAGUACGACAAGAUUGUCGAGGGCAGAAAUCGAUUCUUAGUGACGUCCAUCGUCAGUGUCGCUGUUUUCUUAGGCAUAAGCGCCCUUCCACAGUUACUCAUUUAUCGAUGUGUUCGCCGGGUGUACCGAAACUAUUGCCACGGGAAGGUGCUUGACCUUUCUCCGAAGCUCUAUGACAAAAAAGACGUAGCGUUGUACGAGAUGUCCAAGGCUGUUCGCGUUGAGUUUCUUAUCGAGGAGAAGGUUGUAGACGACGGUCACUACCGUAUCGAUGAGGCGCUUUCAGAAACUGAGCAGGAGAAACGGCGGCGUGCCAUGACGCUGGACUUUAUGAUCCGAAACGAUCAUAACUGGGUGGGCAGCACGGUGAACUUUGCCACUGUUCUGCGUGCAGAUACGCAGUUACCGGGCUUUCAAAAGUACGAUUGCGUCCUUCUUCGUGACGAGCUGCUGAACCAGAGCGAAAGCAAGGCCCGCAAUCUUUUCGAUUCCGCAGCGCAGUACGUAAAGGAGGAUGGGAUGUUUCUUGUCAUGGAUGUCGGGAAGUCAACGUACCCGAAACUAAUCAAGCUGGCUCGGUGGUUCAGCAAAGCCACAAACAGCAGUAUGUCUUUUGCGCACGACUAUCACGGGUGGAUUCGUGAGAGCAUGCUGUACGAUAUCAAGGAGGAGCAGAGGUGUCUUUUUGGUUUCUACUACGCUCUUGUUCUUCUGCCGCGGAAGGCGGCACCGGCGAUGACGCAGAAGACGACGACGUCGAUGACAGAGGUGAAGGAGUCACAACAGCGGUCGCAUAUAAAGAGCGCAUCGUAGUCACAGAUGGACAGUUGCUCACCGAUUUCGACGUGGGAG